AGCCGACAAGAAAAUUUGGCGGGAGGGGCAGGCAGUGAGAGGGGGGGAGAGAGAGAGGAACAGUCAAAGUUUGGGGAGUCCUCGUGAUUCGUGCAAAUCCUAGAACCCUCCUUUAAGCCCACAGAAUACACCACUGAACACACCAACACUCACUCACUCACUCACUCACUCACUCACUCACUCGUAUAUAUGCAUUGCACACACUUUCGUCCGUCCAGUCUGAAGACUCUGGAGAGAGAAUACUUUAGAGAGAGAGAGAGAGAGAGAGAGAGAGAGAGAGAGGGGCAUCAAAUCAAGGAAAACAAAAAGAAGCAAUGCUGCGACUUGCUGUUGCUGGAGCAGGUCCAACCCAAUAUCCUUCUGAUGGGUCUUGUUCCUCGUACCCAAGGCACGUCUCGUCGGAAAUUUGUUUCCACUCCUCAACAAGAGGGAGGAGCAGUGAUGCUUGCUUGAUGGACUUUGCACCGUUCAAGUUUCAUGCAAGAGUGAACUCACCGUUCUGCAUAUUGCUGCUGGAGUACAUUAACUGAUAAGCAGUGUGUGGAGUAGGGAAUGAAGCUAUUGGUCCGUUGAGCAUUUCAAAAAUGUUACAACUUGAUGAUAUCUCUUGUGCAAGAAUUCACAGAUCUUGACAUAUAGGCUGAUUCUGUAACUGUAUCUGCUAAGCUUAAUCUAAUUCAUUGCGAAGAAAUCUUUAAUUUAAUUUUCCCAUUCAGCGUUGUCUUUUGCUUUAAGUUGGAAUAUACCAUCCUGUUCUUUUCA
Pyrus x bretschneideri (Chinese white pear) is the source of this 762-nucleotide long non-coding RNA. RefSeq lists it as uncharacterized. Lineage: Eukaryota; Viridiplantae; Streptophyta; Magnoliopsida; Rosales; Rosaceae. The transcript has 2 exons. The record is from RefSeq and is a predicted model, not a curated record.